Heterocephalus glaber (naked mole-rat) is the source of this 425-nucleotide long non-coding RNA. The record is from Ensembl. NCBI's taxonomy places the organism in Eukaryota, Metazoa, Chordata, Mammalia, Rodentia, Bathyergidae.
CAGUCUCUGCCCCAGCUAUCAUUUCCAGCACAGUGAUUCAAUUAGACAAGAUUUAUUUCUCCUAGUUCCUAUGGCGAUCACAUCCCUAUUUUAAAAAAAGAAAAGAAAGAAGAAGGAAGGAACUCUGUACAGAGACUUCCCAAAGGAACAGAAUGAAAAUCGUGAUAGGCAGCAUUUGGGGCAUCUGACAAAUUUGGAUAAAAGCGUAAAGAAAAUGCACUACUGAGUUGCACCCCACAGAGACCACUACAAUCUGAAUGAUCUGUCCUGUGAUUCCUGAUUUAUGCUUCUGAUGACAGAGUUCUACCAAAUGACCACGGGAGGGAGUUGAGCUAUGAAAUGCAACAGAAGGAAACAUUGCUAGCUUCAAGAGUUUUCUUUUAACUUCAGUGGAGAAGGAGAUUGACACUAAUGCCUUACCUAAG